GCAAGUCGAGGGGCAGCAUUAUCCGCUUGCGGAUAGAUGGCGACCGGCGCACGGGUGCGCACCGCGUAUGGAACCUGCCCUUUACAGGGGAAUAGCCCAGGGAAACUUGGAUUAAUGCCCCGUGGUAUCCCGACCGCGCAUGCGCGUUGGGAUUAAAGCCUUCGGGCGGUAGAGGAUGGCCAUGCGUCCCAUUAGCUUGAUGGUAAGGUAACGGCCUACCAUGGCGACGAUGGGUAGGGGCCCUGAGAGGGGGAUC
RNAcentral lists this ribosomal RNA (256 nucleotides) under uncultured bacterium. Its description in RNAcentral is "partial 16S ribosomal RNA". It matches the Rfam family "Bacterial small subunit ribosomal RNA", at positions 57 to 305 of the family's 1533-position model. The record is from RNAcentral.